This is a non-coding RNA of Danio rerio (zebrafish), 901 nucleotides long. The record is from RefSeq and is a predicted model, not a curated record. Lineage: Eukaryota; Metazoa; Chordata; Actinopteri; Cypriniformes; Danionidae.
UCAAUCCAAUAGACCUUUUGGUUGUGGUGGAAUGGGAGAUUCUCAUCAUGGAUGUGCAGCCGACAAAUCUGCAGCAACUGCGUGAUGCUAUCAUGCCAGUAUGAACCAGAAUUUCUGAGGAAUGUUCCCAGUACCUGAUUGAAUCUACGCCACGAAGGAUUAAGGCUGUUCUAAAGGCAAAAGUGGGUCCAACCCGGUACUAGUCAGGUGUACCUAAUAAAGUGACCGAAAUAAAGUUACGGGAGUUGUCACCGGACUCAUGUCCCCAUAUUUGUACCUGAAGGCUCCACAAUGGUGACAUAAAGGCAGGGUUGGAUUGGCCUAGCAGGUGGAUGCUCCUGUUUGCCAGGUGGGCUUCCCACUGACACAACCUCAACUCUUUCAGUUAGAGAAAGCUGAGUGAUCGCUGGCCAGAUAAAGAGGGCAACCCCGUUCCCUCCUCCGCAACACGCCACAGCUGUGUGAGAACCAGGAGCAGGGGUUUGUGGGACAUCAACAGUCUCUAACAGGUGAAAGAGUUCAACUAGUGCUCAAGAAGAGGAGACACUGCAAGAGAAACAGUUUUUUUUCAUGCACCUGUCAGUUGAGAUUUUCCUAAAGUGUUUUUUAAUGUCAAGAAAACAUCCAAAAUACACUUAUCCAAUGUACCCGAGUGUAUAUUUUAUUGCGCUUUAUCAAUUUGUGUCAACAAAUACAAUACAUAUCUUUUUAAAGGCAUACAUUUUCACUUCAGCAGCUAAUACAGACAUCAAACUUUAUUCAUUUCUGUGUUCUGAAGGUUUUUGCUGAGGGAAAUGUGCAUAUAUAAUUUGCCUGAUUAUAUACAACAUUUUACUCUACAAAGAAAUUGUGAAACCUUUUUCUGACUGUUAUAGAGUGAUAAAGAGAUUUCCAAAAAUCA